This 417-nucleotide ribosomal RNA is filed under the name Triticum aestivum (bread wheat). RNAcentral describes it as "partial small subunit ribosomal RNA". Lineage: Eukaryota; Viridiplantae; Streptophyta; Magnoliopsida; Poales; Poaceae. The record is from RNAcentral.
AUGCUUAAUGACAGAAUAAACACAUGUGAGUUGCUUACUAGAAAAUCCUUUCAUUUGGACUCCACUUCUUGUGUUUUAUGUAAUGAUGAAGACAUGGAGGACAGAACCCACCUACUAUUCUCAUGCACUUUUAGUCAAAACUUCUGGUGGAAUAUAGGCAUUGAAUGGAACACUGAUCUACACAUUCAUGAUAUGAUUUCUGAUGGCAAGCUAAGAUAUAACAUACCAUUCUUCAUGGAGAUUGUGACUAUUGGAUGCUGGAGUUUAUGGAAUCAGAGAAAUGGACUGAUAUUUGAAAAUAUACCAUGCUCCAUUGCAUCAUGCAAGUUUAACUUCAUCAACACUUUCAAGCUUACCAUGUUGAGAGCCAAGCCUAGCCUUAAGGACGGCAUGUCAUCCUGGAUAGACAAAAUUUGA